Long non-coding RNA from Rhododendron vialii, 2846 nucleotides. RefSeq lists it as uncharacterized. The record is from RefSeq and is a predicted model, not a curated record. NCBI's taxonomy places the organism in Eukaryota, Viridiplantae, Streptophyta, Magnoliopsida, Ericales, Ericaceae. The transcript is spliced from 4 exons.
AGCAGCAGCAGCACGGGGAAGGAAAAGAACAGAAGAAGAAGCAGGUCUGCGGCCCGACCUGGCGUGAAUUAACCGAUGAGGAGCUUGAGUGAGGCUUACAAGAAGAAGGCCGAGGGGUUUGAUGUUGGGGAGGUUCCAGGAGACGUUUUCAUGAAUUUAAUUAUGCCAUGUCCGCUCGAUGGGCCUGCCCUGCCAGUCAACGUACUGCGGCCUUAUAAUAAAAUGGCAAAGAAAGCUCUUGCAUCUUACAACAAUGAAAAGGGAACAACGUACAAGUUUGUCAAACACAUUAAGAGUAAAUUGUAACGGAGGAGGUGUUGGUUCUUGGUAUUUUAUUACAGUACUUUUCAGGCCAAGGAUAAAAAGGCUGGUUCUCAGAACUUCCAAACUCCUGUGUAUUCUUAUCAGGAUUUGAUUUAGGUCAGAUUUUGCAGGGUUGAAAAAAAACUGGAAGAACCCAAAGGUUACAUGGACUCGGGUACAAGUUUCGGGUGCGGGUACGUUUCCAAGUGUCAGCCCCAUCUAAUUUACAUUUCCAGGAGGCGGGGACAAAGCAAAGUAUGUAUGUUUCUCAAUAUGUUUCUUUUGUUUUCUAGGCUAAAUGGUGCUUAUUAGGUGGGUUAGGGCAUUUCAUGCAUAUUAUAUUAGUUUAUGCAUAUCAUAGAAGUUUUAUGCAUACUAUCAAAGUAUGUUUUCUAGUUGAGUGUCCAACUAAAUAUAGGGGACACGGAUCCCAUACCCAUGUUGGAGAGUCAAGUGUCUGACAUAGGUAUUUUAUAGUUUUAGAAGAGUCCUUAUAUUUGUAUCCCUUAACUUCAAGCGAACAAAGACAUAGUUAUAAACUAAAGCUACAGAAAGCAUCAAAUAUGUUGAGUUCCAACGAGUCUUAAAAUCAAGAACCAACUCUCUAGUGCACGGAACACUUAAUUGGCAUGUUGUUUCUUCAAAUUUUUGCUUCCUUUUUGGUGAUCCUGUCCAAAAAACCAUACUAACACUAUCAUCCACCCUCUCAAUACCUUCAGUCCUUCACCAAUAAUAGCUAAACCAUCUUGAACAACCAAAUUGAGAAUGUGUGCAUCACUGUGCAUAUGCAACAAUGAUCCUUUCAAGAUUAGUGAUUUAUUUAGGUGGGUGGGACCGUGGGAGCUUCUCCAAGAGAAUUCUUAUGAUGACAUCAUUUGCAUUGCAAUUAUGCAGUCACUGUAGAUAACUUGCUAUCAAAAUUCCAUUCCAACAUGCACUCUAAAAGAACCUUAGAAAGAACUUAGGCUGUGUGUGGAGAUGGAGUGUAAAUAAACCUCGGACAAUACAACACAAAUAAGUUUAAAGUAAGAAAGGCACAAACAAUAGUCAAAUAAGCUGAGUUACAUGUUUCCAUCAAAAAUUAGAAUUGAACUUCGAAAUAAAAAGAAACGGUACCUCAUAACCGAUUUUCCAAGGCCCGAGAGUCAUUAAUAUAGUGGGCAGUCACAACCAGGAAUCCUCUCUUUUUGUUACUUAAAGUCCACGUGUCUGUUGUGAUUGCAAUUCUACUUGGAUUCUUGUCCACCUUCACUUAAGUUUUCUUGUUCUCAUAAUUAUAUAUUUUUUUAAUAAUGUCCCUCUUCAAAGUGCUUCUAGAAAUCAUCUUAAACAUAGGUUCAACAUGCCCUGCAGAUCGGAUCGCAAUGGCCAUCCCUUCCAGUGGGGGCACCGAGUCUUGAAAUGUCACAUUUAUGCCCCUAGAAGUUUUGAUUUUGCCCCCAGUGAAUGUUCAGUUUGCCCCAUUUAUUUGCCCGGUACACCAGUCUUGGAUGUUUGCCCACACUAUACAAGAAUCCUGCUCCGCCCUUGGACCAUUACUCAUGUACUAAACGAUGAAAACAUGAUUAUUUAUAGGUUGAUUAUUAAUUUCCUUUUGGCAAAGCACUGUUUACUGCCUUUGUUAAUGUUUCCUUCUACGGUUUGAUGUUUUGUUUACAAUGUACGUAUGAUAUAGGGGCACGAGGAGCAGGUUGAGGUAUCAUCUAUGACAAACUGGAAAAGGCUGCUGGCAUGUUAAGAAUGAUUCCUUGUAGCUAACUCCGGUAAACCGAUAGUGUUUACUAUACACGUUAAGUUGUAUUGCAUAAUUUACUGUUUCCUUGUUACUAUCGCUUAAAAUGUUUCCUUGUUUUCUUUGACGUUUUUUACUUGUAUAGUCACUAGACACAUUAGUUUUUUGCUAGGAUUAGGAAUUAAUGGGUGGAUGAAUUGUGAUAAGUUUUUUGGUAUGAUUUGUUGUGGUCAUAAUUAUAGGGAAUUUGUUGGGGGAUGAUGAUGGAAAGCGUGAAACAUGGAAACAAAUGAAUAGAAUCACUUUUUUUUUUUUGGUUUGGGACCUUUCUAAGUUAUGUUUCAAUCCCAAAAUUCUUUACCUAUAUGGUAUCGAAAAAAUAGGUAAUAUGGUGUAUAAAGGACAAAAUUGGGUUUAUAAAAAUAUGAGGAUAAAAACAUAAUCGUAAAAAGUAGACGAGAUGAAAACAUAACCUCUACUAGACUGGAGGAUGAAUAUUUAAGUAGCCCCGGUAAUUAUGCAAUACAACAACUUAAUAUAUUCUCAUUUCUAAUCCGAAACCUCCAUUUGGUUGCAUUUGACUAUGGUUAGGGAUUUGAGGAGUAUUGGAUCGACUGCCGCAACGGUUGGUUGUGGCACCGGGAGCGAAGUCGAUGCAGCGGUAGAGGAGAAUGGUAGACAAUGGCAGCUGCGGUUUGUUUUUUUUGCAGAAAAAACAAAAACAUUUCUCUUGUUAUUAUUGUGAUUGAAUUCCACUAAAUUAAAAAGUGGUUGAAUUCCACUAACUAAGAAAGACAAUAAACACACACAU